RNAcentral lists this ribosomal RNA (913 nucleotides) under uncultured crenarchaeote. RNAcentral's name for it is "bacterial SSU rRNA". It matches the Rfam family "Archaeal small subunit ribosomal RNA", at positions 1 to 922 of the family's 1478-position model. Lineage: Archaea; Thermoproteati; Thermoproteota. The record is from RNAcentral.
UUCCGGUUGAUCCUGCCGGACCUGACUGCUAUCGGAUUGGUACUAAGCCAUGCGAGUCGUUGUAGCAAUACAAGGCGGACGGCUCAGUAACACGUAGUCAACCUAACCUAUGGACGUGGAUAACCUCGGGAAACUGAGAAUAAACCGCGAUAGAUCAUUAUGCCUGGAAUGGCUUAUGGUUCAAACAAUUUAUUGCCGUAGGAUGGGACUGCGGCCUAUCAGCUUGUUGGUGAGGUAAUGGCCCACCAAGGCUAUAACAGGUACGGGCUCUGAGAGGAGAAGCCCGGAGAUGGGUACUGAGACACGGACCCAGGCCCUAUGGGGCGCAGCAGGCGAGAAACCUUAGCAAUGUGCGAAAGCACGACUAGGUUAAUCCGAGUGAUUUCUGUUGAAGAAAUCUUUUGUCAGUCGUAAAACCACAGACGAAUAAGGGGUGGGCAAGUCUGGUGUCAGCCGCCGCGGUAAUACCAGCACCUCGAGUGGUCAGGAGGUUUAUUGGGCCUAAAGCAUCCGUAGCCGGCUUUGCAAGUCUCCGGUUAAAUCCAGCUGCUCAACAGAUGGGCUGCCGGAGAUACUACAAAGCUAGGGAGCGGGAGAGGUAGACGGUAUUCGGUGGGUAGGGGUAAAAUCCACUGAUCCAUCGAGGACCACCAGUGGCGAAGGCGGUCUACCAGAACGCGUUCGACGGUGAGGGAUGAAAGCUGGGGGAGCAAACCGGAUUAGAUACCCGGGUAGUCCCAGCUGUAAACGAUGCAAACUCGGUGAUGCAUUGGCUUAUGGCCAAUGCAGUGCCGCAGGGAAGCCGUUAAGUUUGCCGCCUGGGAAGUACGGACGCAAGUCUGAAACUUAAAGGAAUUGGCGGGGGAGCACCGCAAGGGGUGAAGCCUGCGGUUCAAUUGGAGUCAACGCCGGG